This 199-nucleotide long non-coding RNA is filed under the name Gossypium barbadense (sea-island cotton). RNAcentral describes it as "long non-coding RNA (GBAR_LNC005609)". The record is from RNAcentral. Lineage: Eukaryota; Viridiplantae; Streptophyta; Magnoliopsida; Malvales; Malvaceae.
AAAUUCUUCGGGUUAAUUCAGAAGCGUCAGAUAGUUCAUUUGCCAUGAUUUCUAUUAGGUCUGCUCAGAAAUGUUUGAGAAAAGGGUAUAAAGCUUAUCUUGAUUUUUUUGUUGAACACUAAAGAUCUAGAAAUGAAAAUUGAAUCAAUGCCUGUGGUAUGUGAGUUUCUCGAUGUGUUUCUAGAAGAACUACCAGGUU